GAGUUUGAUCGUGGCUCAGGAUGAACGCUAGCGGCAGGCUUAACACAUGCAAGUCGAGGGGUAGAAGGAGCUUGCUCCUUUGAGACCGGCGCACGGGUGCGUAACGCGUAUGCAAUCUACCUUGUACAGGGGGAUAGCCCAGAGAAAUUUGGAUUAAUACCCCAUAGUGUAAUGAAACGGCAUCGUUUUAUUACUAAAGUUCCAACGGUACAAGAUGAGCAUGCGUCCCAUUAGCUAGUUGGUGUGGUAACGGCAUACCAAGGCAACGAUGGGUAGGGGUCCUGAGAGGGAGAUCCCCCACACUGGUACUGAGACACGGACCAGACUCCUACGGGAGGCAGCAGUGAGGAAUAUUGGUCAAUGGGCGCAAGCCUGAACCAGCCAUGCCGCGUGCAGGAUGACGGUCCUAUGGAUUGUAAACUGCUUUUGUACAGGAAGAAACACUCCCUCGUGAGGGAGCUUGACGGUACUGUAAGAAUAAGGAUCGGCUAACUCCGUGCCAGCCGCCGCCGUAAU
RNAcentral lists this ribosomal RNA (516 nucleotides) under uncultured Flavobacterium sp. RNAcentral's name for it is "bacterial SSU rRNA". It matches the Rfam family "Bacterial small subunit ribosomal RNA", at positions 9 to 524 of the family's 1533-position model. Lineage: Bacteria; Pseudomonadati; Bacteroidota; Flavobacteriia; Flavobacteriales; Flavobacteriaceae. The record is from RNAcentral.